GGUUCACUCGAGGAGAUGAGUGAAUCAUGCAGAAGUUUCUUUGGCCGAUUAAUCGAGUCGUUGUUAGUCUGGGGAAGCAAAUUACCUGUUGAGUCAAGGGCAUGCUACUCGAAGAUGGCAGAGGAGCUAUGCGCGCUUCUGGUGGACACCCCAAGCGAGACGCUGAACCUACCCAUGGGGUGUCUUCUAACGAUGCUCAACGCUCCAGUUCCGGACGAGAGCAGGUCGUCGUACCUGCAGGACGCACUCUCUGUCUUCACCGAAAUCCUUUGCAGUGAUCCGUAGCACAAGGGUCCACGGUGUUGCCGUAAUCUGGGUGAAGGGAAGUGAAGCCUACAGGCAACACGCCGAAGAGUUUGUACGUCUCAUGUUUGGUACUUGUAGAAAAAAUUAGGAAUGUAUAACUAUGACCUGAUUUGCUCCGGUGAAUUUGUAACUCCGUCUGAAGACAUGUGUCGGGAUUUUCGUUGUAUGUGAGUACCAGGUCUUGUGAAACGUUGACUUGCGAGCUGUACCAAUAGGGAGUGAUUUCCUGGGCU
This is an RNA transcript of Zea mays, 539 nucleotides long. It is a transcript of the gene named nuclear pore complex protein NUP96-like, with no coding region annotated. The record is from RefSeq and is a predicted model, not a curated record. The transcript has 2 exons. NCBI's taxonomy places the organism in Eukaryota, Viridiplantae, Streptophyta, Magnoliopsida, Poales, Poaceae.